This 253-nucleotide ribosomal RNA is filed under the name uncultured bacterium. Its description in RNAcentral is "partial 16S ribosomal RNA". It matches the Rfam family "Bacterial small subunit ribosomal RNA", at positions 524 to 776 of the family's 1533-position model. The record is from RNAcentral.
GACAGAGGUGCCGAGCGUUAGGCGGAAUCACUGGGCUUAAAGCGUGUGUAGGCGGACUCGUAAGUGCUUUGUGAAAUCCCACGGCUCACCCGUGGAACUGCUUGGCAUACUGCGAGCCUUGAGCCACUUAGGGGCAACCGGAACAAACGGUGGAGCGGUGAAAUGCGUAGAUAUCGUUUGGAACGCCAAUGGUGAAAACAGGUAGCUGGGGCUGUGCUGACGCUGAGACACGAAAGCCAGGGGAGCGAACGGG